GAUGAAGAACGCAGCGAAAUGCGAUACGUAAUGUGAAUUGCAGAAUUCAGUGAAUCAUCGAGUCUUUGAACGCACAUUGCGCCCCCUGGUAUUCCGGGGGGCAUGCCUGUCCGAGCGUCAUUGCUGCCCUCAAGCACGGCUUGUGUGUUGGGCCUCCGCCCCCCGGCUCCCGGGGGGCGGGCCCGAAAGGCAGCGGCGGCACCGCGUCCGGUCCUCGAGCGUAUGGGGCUUCGUCACCCGCUCUGUAGGCCCGGCCGGCGCCCGCCGGCGACCCCAAUCAAUCUUUCCAGGUUGACCUCGGAUCAGGUAGGGAUACCCGCUGAACUUAAGCAUAUCAAUAAGCGGAGGA
This 349-nucleotide unclassified non-coding RNA is filed under the name soil metagenome. RNAcentral describes it as "partial contains 5.8S ribosomal RNA, internal transcribed spacer 2, and large subunit ribosomal RNA". The stretch from base 1 to 120 matches the Rfam family "5.8S ribosomal RNA", at positions 35 to 154 of the family's 154-position model. The record is from RNAcentral.